This 560-nucleotide ribosomal RNA is filed under the name uncultured bacterium. RNAcentral describes it as "bacterial SSU rRNA". It matches the Rfam family "Bacterial small subunit ribosomal RNA", at positions 338 to 915 of the family's 1533-position model. The record is from RNAcentral.
CCUACGGGAGGCAGCAGUGGGGAAUAUUGGACAAUGGGCGAAAGCCUGAUCCAGCAAUGCCGCGUGAGUGAUGAAGGCCUUAGGGUCGUAAAGCUCUUUUACCAGGGAUGAUAAUGACAGUACCUGGAGAAUAAGCUCCGGCUAACUCCGUGCCAGCAGCCGCGGUAAUACGGAGGGAGCUAGCGUUGUUCGGAAUUACUGGGCGUAAAGCGUACGUAGGCGGUUAUUCAAGUCAGAGGUGAAAGCCCGGGGCUCAACCCCGGAACGGCCUUUGAAACUAGAUAGCUAGAGUCUUGGAGAGGUCAGUGGAAUUCCGAGUGUAGAGGUGAAAUUCGUAGAUAUUCGGAAGAACACCAGUGGCGAAGGCGACUGACUGGACAAGUACUGACGCUGAGGUACGAAAGCGUGGGGAGCAAACAGGAUUAGAUACCCUGGUAGUCCACGCCGUAAACGAUGAUAACUAGCUGUCCGGGUACUUGGUAUCUGGGUGGCGCAGCUAACGCAUUAAGUUAUCCGCCUGGGGAGUACGGUCGCAAGAUUAAAACUCAAAGGAAUUGACG